This 12012-nucleotide long non-coding RNA is filed under the name Nicotiana tabacum (common tobacco). RNAcentral describes it as "long non-coding RNA (NTAB_LNC004562)". Lineage: Eukaryota; Viridiplantae; Streptophyta; Magnoliopsida; Solanales; Solanaceae. The record is from RNAcentral.
UUCAAUGGGAUUACACAAAUCAUUUUUCUAUCCAAAAAAAUCUCAAAAAAAGGUUAGUUGACCAAGAACACAACAAUGGAGACGCAUGUGUUUGGAAAUAUUCAACAGGUUAGUUAAACACUUAGACUAACAGCUUUUGGAAAGAAAGAAAAUUGUGCAUUAAAUCUCAAGCACUGACUAGCAAAUGGUUUAAAGAAUUUCAAGCUAAUUCAUAAGCUCCCAUGGAUAGUACAUUAUUUACUUGCUGCAGCAUGAAAAACCUUCAGCUCAUACUCCAAUAAUUUCCAGCAUAUAUUACAUACAAAUGGGAAUAAGCAAUUAACAAAGAAUAGAGAAUUUUCAGUGUUUAUUAUAAUCCCACUCAAUUAGCUAAUGAUGAAACACAUUUUCCUUAAAAAACACAUACACAUCUCCAGGCUAUAUAGUUUUCAGUUCCUCCAAAUAGCUUCUCGAUUUAUCAGGAUUGGAGUAUUCCAGCAAAUCAGAAUCUGGUGCAUAUUACUCCAAAAUGAACAAAGUCACAAGACUGACAUUUAACAGCAAAAUUUAGAGAUGGUGCACAUAUCAUUAACUACACCUCAAACUAACGAUACUUAUGCCCACAGAUUGCACACGAGGUGCAGCGUCGAUUUCCAUACUCAUUUUGGCCAUUAUCACUUAAGUCCGCAGCAUGUUCCAGGUAUCAGUUAAAUCAAACACCUCAAUCAAAGUUAUAACAUUGCACUUAUGCUAAAUAAGAUUUCAACACGUUCAAAUAUGCUAAAACUAAAUUUCAAAAGAUUCAAACAAUUGAAGCACAUGAGCUAGAAGUGCAUCUACAAUUUCAUUACGAAUCAGAGAGGAGAUACAUGAUUGGGACAUGUACCUGGUCUCUUAGGAAUCAACAUAAAAUUGCCAAAGAAAGGCUAGAAAGGAGGAAAAGUUGGAGUUCAGCUGUAGUUUAUUUGCAAAACAACUUCAAUUACCAGUUUAAAUCACCUUGAAAAAACUCAGGAAAGUGUGAAUAAAAUCUUCAAAGCUCGAUUUCACUUCAAGUUCUACUUGAAAUCUUUAUUUUUUUUGCAUUUUUCAGAGCUUUUGUUUUUGUCCUCACAUCUGAUCUUUGAACUCGAAUUCAGAAUGUGAGUGUGUGCGUCGAUGACUGAGAGAGGUGAGAAUUGUGUGAUUUCUUUUUCAGGAGAUGAUGGGAAGGUCUACUCUUUGUCUUUUGGAGCAGAUUAAGGGCACCGUUUGCUCUGAUUUUUGGGAGCAGGGAUGCCAUUGUUCUCCUCUCCUAGGUCUAGAUUUUAGGGACUUUAAUGAAAGAGGGGCUUGGGCCGGUUCGUGUAGGCUAAUUAUUUGGGCCGAAGUUUUUGGACUUAUUUUGUAUUAAAUUGGCCCAAUUUCAAAAAAAAAACACUUGUUCAAUUCCCCCUUUUAUUUCCUUUUCUUUUUUUCUUUAAUUAAAUAUUCUUUAUUAAAUUCCUAAAUUAAUCUAAAUUAUCGAACUAACUAAUUAUCUAAUUUUAAUAAUUAUAAAAAUAACUUGAUCCUAAUUAAAAGAGAAAAACAAUAAUGUAAAAAUUAAAAGGUAAAAAUGUAAAAAUGAGUCAUUUUUGUGAUUUUUAUUUUUUAAUAAAACAAUAAUUAACUAAUUAAUCCUAAAAAUGUAAAAACAAAACCUAAAUGCAAUGCAUGGUAUUUUUGACAUUUUCAUGAUUUUAAUAAAAAUUAAACGUGCACAAAAAUGCAAACAAUUAGCAAAAAAAAUCCUACAAAAUUCAUAUAAAAUGGAAAAUAAUAAUUAGAAAAAUCUACUUUCUUGGAUUCUAUAGGAGUAAUUCAUAUAGGGCAAAAAUUACAUGUUUACAACUGCCCCUCUUUGCUUAGAAACACGAAGAAUUUUCGGGCAAAGAUAAAAAUGAGCAAUUACGAGGGAUUUUUGCACAUUUGAAACUCCAAGAGAAACAUCUUUUGAAAAAGCCGGACCGAACCUUGCUUCAGAUGUUGACUACAUAUCCUUGGCUAUAAAUGAAUCAGGUCAAUGUAGUUCUAAAAGUUUUGGUAGCUGGGACUACCGGGAAACAGUGAUUUCAUUGCUGUUGCUGCUUGUUGAGCUCCUUAUUACACCGAAAUAAAAGAUAAAAAGCUAAACUAGCUAAACCUAUCAACUACGAGUUACAAGAUUCCUAUCUAUAAACCUCCAAAGCUUGAUCUUGAGUCUUGGAUGGUUUUUCCUGCAGACUCUGAUCUGAAUCUUGAUGCUCGUUAGAUGCAACCGCUGGUUCAUUCUUCUUCAGCUUUUCGGAUCAAGGCGGGACAUGCGAAGCUUGUGACUUCAAUCAAAUUUUGAGUGGUCCGCAUCUUUUCUCCGCUUCUGCAACUUGAGUUCAACUUCUUUUCUUGUUUCCUCUUUUCUUUUAUUUGGGUUGAGACUUCUUCUUUUGGUCAUCUCAAACCUUGUGCCUCACGAUUAAAACCUGUUUAGGCACCAAAGCAAAUAAACGAAUGAAAUUAUUCUACCCUAGUUUUCACUAGGAAAAUUUUGUGAGUUAUUCUAACAAAAUUCUAAACUACUUCUUUAUUGAAAGCAAUAAAAGUCAAGAUUGUGUAUCCUUGGGAAAAAGAUAUUAGGGAGUGGAGGCCCUAUAUCUAACAUGAAAUCAACUAGGGAUUGGAGGCCCUGAGUUGGGAAAGUGACUAGGGAGUGGAGACCCUAUGUCUAAAANNNNNNNNNNNNNNNNNNNNNNNNNCAACAUUUUUUUUUCUUUUGAGAAAAUAAUUCUUUUAAACAUAUUGCCCCAAUGCCUCCCUUUUUUUAAUCGAGACAUCCCCUUUUUUGGUAUCUCAGGAGAAAGAUUCAUCAGGCUAAGAUUUCUAUCCUAGGAGAAAGUUCAUCAGACUAGGUCUUCUAUCUUAGGAGAAAGAUUCAUCAAACUAAGACUUUGAUCUUAGGAAAAAGUUCAUCAGACUAGGUCCUUUUUUACCUUUUUUCUUUUUUUUUGGUAUCAUAGGAUAAAGAUUCAUCCGACUAAGAUGUUUAUCCUAGGAUUCAUCAGACUAGGUUUUCUAUCUUAGGAGAAAGAUUCAUCAGACUAAGAGUUCUAGUCUAGGAGAAUGUUCAUCAGACUAGGUCUUCCAUCUUAGGAGAAAAUUCAUCAGACUAAAGUUUUGAUCCUAGGAAAAAGUUCAUCAGACUAGGUCUUUUUUUUCAUUUUUCUUUUUUUUGGUAUCUUAAGAUAAAGAUUCAUCCGACUAAGAUGUUUAUCCUAGGAGAAAAUUCAUCAGACUAGGUUUUCUAUCUUAGGAGAAAGAUUCAUCAGACUAAGAGUUCUAUCCUAGAAGAAUGUUCAUCAGACUAGGUCUUCCAUCUUAUGAGAAAAUUCAUCAGACUAAGACGUUUAUCCUAAGAGAAAGUUCAUCAGACUAGGUCUUCUAUCUUAGGAGNNNNNNNNNNNNNNNNNNNNNNNNNNNNNNNNNNNNNNNNNNNNNNNNNNNNNNNNNNNNNNNNNNNNNNNNNNNNNNNNNNNNNNNNNNNNNNNNNNNNNNNNNNNNNNNNNNNNNNNNNNNNNNNNNNNNNNNNNNNNNNNNNNNNNNNNNNNNNNNNNNNNNNNNNNNNNNNNNNNNNNNNNNNNCUUAUGAGAAAAAUUCAUCAGACUAAGAUUUUGAUCCUAAGAGAAAAUUCAUCAGAGUAAGUCCCCUUUUUUUGUUAUCUUAGGAGAAAGAUUCAUCAGACUAAGAUUUCUAUCCUAGGAUAAAGUUCAUCAGACUAGGUUUCUAUCUUAGGAGAAAAAUUAAUCAGACUAAGUUUCUAUCCUAUGAGAAAGUUCAUCAGACUAGGUCUUCUAUCUUAGGAGAAAGAUUCAUCAUACUAAGAUUUUGAUCAUAGGAGAAAAUUCAUCAGACUAUGGCUUCUAUCUUAGGAGAAAAAUUCAUCAGACUGAGAGAUUUUGAUCCUAGGAGAAAAUUAUUAGACUAGGUCCCUUUUUUGUUAUAUUAGGAGAAAGAUUCAUUAGACUAAGAUUUUUAUCCUAGGAGAAAAUUCAUCAGACUAGGUCUUCUAUCUUAGGAGAAAGAUUCAUCAGACUAAGAUUUUGAUUCUAGGAGAAAGUUCAUCAGACUAGGUCUCUAUCUUAGGAGAAUGAUUCAUCAGACUAAGAUUUUGAUCCUAGGAGAAAAUUCAUUAGACUAGGUCUCUUUUCUUCUUAUGGUAUCUUAGGAGAAAUAUUUAUCAGACUAAGACGUUUAUCCUAGGAGAAAAUUCAUUAGACUAGGUUUCCUAUCUUAGGAGAAAGAUUCAUCAAACUAAGAUUUCUAUUGGGAGCAAAAUCCAUCAAACUAGGACUUUUUAUCCUAGGAGGCAAAAUGUGAAGAUCAAUGGCAACAUUUUAUACACAAUAACAAGACAAAUAAAGGCAAAGACUUGAGAAACUUCCCUUUGUCGGCUCUUCUUUUCUUUUCAUUUUCUUCUUUUUUUGUAUUUUUUUUAUUUUUUUUGAAUCACUUUCCUUGCACUACUUUGUUUCCUGUUUCAUACAAAGAAAAAUUUGUCAAUUUUGAAAAUGGUGGUCAGUUUGUGGCCUUGAGUCUUGAGCAACUUGGCUUUUGCUCGAUCAGCCUGAGUCAGUCUCAAGAGACAUUUGUUCUGCCCCAACUCUGAUUGUUUCACACCUAGGACUAUUUGUAUUUGCAGCUCAAACAACCUUAUCCCAACUGGAGAUCUUUUCUUAAGUAACCUUUUCUGAUAUCUUGAAUGACUUCCUAUUUUUUAAGCAAUUUGUCUGUCAGAGAGAAUCACCAGUUAUCUUUGCUUGCGCCAAGUAAGCUGACAAAGGUCUUUUAGGGAAACCUUUGCAUGAAUCUUCAAGGUAUGUUGUUAGUAACAAUUUAGUGUGCUGGCCAAAUUUACUUUGUGCAACUGAAAAGCUGGUAGCAGAUUCUGAAAUCUUUUCUUGCUUGUUUUGACCGGACUGACUCAGAGUGAAGGACACAAUGAUGCAAAGAAACAAGUAUUAACAAGAAUGCCCUGCCGGAAGGACAAAAGGGAGAGUUUUUUUCUUUUUCUUUUUCUUUUUUUUUGUUUCUUUUUUUUCAAUAACUAGCCUUAAUGAUCAUGACAUGCAUUUUGGACUCAAUGACCUGAUCUAUCAAACUAAUCCAAUCUUCCCUUUUACCAUUCUUAUGACCUUUGAAGUAGGGCUUGUUCAUGACAAUCCUUUGCAUCAGCUUCACAACUCAUUUUCGACUAGUGAUGCCCCGAGGGAUUUUCACCAACGAGUCUGUCUCCUUUAUUUAUCUCUAUUUACCGUUGUCUUACAUUACCUGUGAGGGUUUACACUAGUAAGACUCUCUUAUUUUCUUUUAUUUUUUCUUUUGUUUUAGCUUUCUUAUGUGAGCAACUUGGCAGUGUUCUUAUAUUGCGUGACAACCGUUGCUCAUUGCAUGCAUCCCUUGGCAUUCUUGAAGGCUGAUUAGGAGAUCUUUACUUGGAAGGUUUUUGGACAGGGUUGGAAAGAAGGAUCGGCAUGAAGGCUCAAAGUAGACUCAAAAUUAGGGGUUGUAGACUUAGAACUCUUGGAAUCAACUCUUUCAAAAGUGAAAAAAAAAUCUCUACCCCAGUUUCAGCUAUUGGGGAUCUUUUUGGAUUUUUUUCUUUUUUUUCCUUUCCUUUAUUUUGAAUUCUUGUUUAGUUGGACCGAACCGUGAGGUUGCCUACGUAUCUUUUUUAUUAAGGAAUUAGGUCGAACGUAGUUCAAACAUCUGACCUAAACUAUUUUUCAUCUUUAUUUCUGUUUCUCUUUUUUCUUUUUUUUUCUUCCUCUUUUCUUUUCUUUUUUUUUCUUUUGCUUGCCCCAGCUUCUAUCUUCUGAGGGCAUGGAAUUUCGACAAUUAUUUUCUUCUUCAUUUUUUUUUUCAUUUGAACUUUCUAAGAAUUGUCCAGUUUGUACUCUUGGGACAUGGAUUUUUUUUUCUUUUUCCUUUUUUUCCUUUUUUUUUUGACUCUUGACUCUAAACUUGAUUCCGAAAAAGGGUGGUCAAAGAAAAUAACAUAGGCUCAAAGGGGUGACAAAGAGUAUAAAAUAUUUUGGGUAGCAGAAAAAGGGCCCCCAGCCUCGAGAACGCCAUACAUGGUAUCCCUUAGCGAUCACAUUAUUGGUGAACAUGCCUGUCUUCUUAGUGUUUCGUGGUCACAAGACACUUUCCAUCCCCUAAUGUCAAACUUUCCAACAAACUUCAAUUGAUUCUUCCUCAACCUGAUCUUCACAAUGAUUUUGAAGGUAAAGAUUCUUAACCUCCACGGGUAUGACUAUUCUAGUUCCACUUGAAUUUUACUCGGGCUUAAUUCCAAGGUAUUUCAACUCUUUUUCAUCCUCAAAAGUAUCUUUUUCUCAGUUGUCCAAUUCAAUCUUAAAUCAAUUUUCUAAGAUUUGGCCAAAAAUUUCGCAUGCAUGCCAUGUCCUUAAAACUAGCGGGAAAAGAACUAAGCAUGGAAUGACACAAAAGGAUAAAUUGUAUUUCAUUGAGUAAACAACAAGACAAACAACGUAAAAUCUGAGUUACAACCCUAAAAUAACCCGGCUAAUGAAAAUAGCAACAGAACAAACAGACAAGACUCACACAAAUAUAAUGGAUGGACAGAAGGGUUUGAUUCAAUAAAAGAAAUAAAAUCUGGAUCACAACCAUGAAAUAACUCAGAUAAUAGAAAAAACAUCAAAACAAGCUAUCAAGAUUCCUUCCUAAUGAGGAGGGAAUGACUUUUCAAUUGCUAGGCUUGACAUUUAGCCACAAAUUUGCUCAUCAGAAUCAGCAGAGUCUUCUCCAAUUUCAAAAUCAUUAACUUCAGUUAGAAAGUUCCCGAGAGGAUUCUCAUACUCCCUAUCACCACGCAUCAUCCCCACAAAGUGUGCAUCAUUAUGUGCAGGUAAAAUAUUCUGCGCGAUAUUCUAGGUGUCACUGUCUUCGAUCAGAAUCAGAUUUUUCUGGAUCAUCCUUUCUAUUUCUUUUUUCAAAUCUCGACAGCUUUCAACAUUGUGCCCCUGGGCAUUGUAAUGGUAUUCGCACCUUUGGUGUCAAAGUUUCUUGCAUAAGGGUCAAAUUUUCUUGCAUAAGGGUCCACAUGAUUUGGAGGAAUAUGUGCGAUCAUGUCAUGAUGCUUUAACUUCUCAAAUAAGCUUGCAUAGGACUCUCCUAUUGGUGUAAAAUUAUCUUUCAACCUUUGUUUCCCUUUAUACCCCUAGCUUGGAUGUGGGUUAUAGGGCACCUAAAAAUUUUGUGGAGGUUGGUGGAGAUUUUGUGAUGCUCGUGCUCGCCUUCUUGGGUGAUUUGGUGGCUGGACAACAUACUGAGGUGGAGCAAAAGAGUAUUGUGGGUUCUGAGGAGGAUAGUAAUGCUCAGGGGAGUUAUCGGAAAAUAGACGAGGAUGGUCAUACCUUCGAGACGUUCUCCUAAGACCUCUUCUCGAGCCUGAUGUCAUCAUGAUUUCUUCAUCCAUCUCAUUCGUGUCACUAGAUUCAAUUUGGACAGCCUGAGUUGCAACUUUGAGAGCUGCUUAACUUAUAAUUCUGCAUGUCUUAAGGCUAUUCUUUACCAUUUCUCCCAUUUUGAUUGCUUCCGAGAAGGAUUUUCCAACUGCGGACAUCAUGUUUUGAAAGUAAUCUGGCUCUUGCGCCUGAAGGAAGACAGUGAUUAGCUCGUGGUCAUCCAUGGGUGGCUUAACUCUAGCUGCUUGCUCUCUCCAUUUAAUGGCAUAUUUCCUUAAACUUUCACUUGGUUUCUUCUUCUGGUUUGAAAGGGAAUUGCGGUUUAGGGCAAUGUCAAUGUUGUAUUGGAACUGUUUGACAAAGUCCUGUGUCAUGUCAUCCCAGACGUACCAGCGAGAUGUUUCUUGAUCCCUAAACCAUUCGGAUGCUACUCCCGUAAGGCUUUUCCCAAAAUAAGCUAUUAGAAAUUCUUCAUUUCUUUCCGCACCUCUUAGUUGAUUGCAAUACCUUUUCAAGUGGGCUAUGGGGUCUCCAUGUCCAUCAUACUUUUUAAAUUUGGGAGUCUUGAAACCAAGUAGCAAGUGGACAUCGGGGAACAUACAUAGAUCCUUGAAGGCGAUACUCUUCUGACCUGCCAAUCCUUGCAUGUUUUUCAACUGUUGUUCUAAGCUUUUCACUCUUUGGGUCAUUUCUUCCUGUGCCAUCUUUCGGGCAGGCUUCUCACUCUUUGCAGGAAAAUCAAAUAGGUACGAGUGGUACUUAGGAGACUGGUACUGCUCUUGCUGGGUAGCAAAUUGUGACUCAUGACAAGGUUGUCCUUGGCAUUUGCCCAUGCUUGGCACAUUUUGGUCAUUUGCUGUUUCAGUAUUUUAUUUUCCUCAACCACAGUAGACUCUUGUUGAACCCUCUGACCCUGAGUCUCUUGAGCACUUGUAACAGCUUCGAUGUUAGUUAUCAUUUUUCUUGGAUCUUGUGUUGGCCGCUUACCAAAAACCAACCACCUCAAACUUUUUUAACAAUUCAAAACAAAACACACGUUAAAAUGGACUCGAUCAGUCCUUAUCGUUAUCAACAUUUUUUCACAUUUGUUUUUUCAGUUUUUUUUCAUUUUUCUUUUUAAUGGUUGAUCGAACCUGAUGUGGGUUGCCUAAGUAUAAUGUAGGAACAUGAAUCAGAUCUUGCGUAGUUCGGGAACAUCGGGAAUAAAAUAAAUAAACUAACUCUUUCUUUUGCUCUUUAAGAAAUCUAAACAUAAAAGCUCCUAACGAGGAAAAUAUUUUUUGGAUUUUGAAUGCUUUGUUUUCUUUUUGUUUGAAAUUUUUAAAAUAAAGAUCUCUAAACAAGAAAAAAUAUAUUUUUGGGUUUCCAUUUGUUUUUUUGGAGAAUUUUUGAAAAGAAAGACUUCUAAAGAAGAAAGAAAAUAUUUUUGGAAUUUUGUACUUUUAUUUUGAAAUUAUGAAGGAAAUACUUCUAAAGAAAAAAAAAUUGCGUCUUGAAUUUUUUUCAAUUUUUGAAAGAAGAAUAAAAUAUUUUUUGGAUUUUGAGAGGAAAUAAAAAAAAUAUUUUUGUAUUUUAAAAAAAAUGGGGUCUAAAAGAAAGACUUUCUAAAUAAAGAAGUAAAGGAUAAUAUUUUUGAUUUUUUUGAAAAUGGUGGGCUGGAACCGAGGAGCUUGCUUACGUAUCUCACAUCCGGUGAGAAUUAGACCCGCGUAGUUCGUCAGUUUUGACGGAACAGGAAAAACAUGACUUAUUUUGAAAUGACUUUUCUUCUUCUAUUUUUCAAAAUUUCAGCAGAGUUUCAGGUUAUUUCAAAUACCUACAUCUCACUCUCUUUUCUUUUUUCUUCUUUCUUUUUUUAUUUUUUAUUUUUUUUUUCAUUUUCUUUCCCUAUUCUAGAAGCCAGUCAACAUGCAAGCUGAAGCAGAUAGAUAUGCAAGUAGCACGUAAGAUGCAUCAGGAUGGUCUUUUAAUUUGGGUACACCUGUCCUAGAUGGACCCACCCCUGUGUUGAGUCCCCAAAGUCAAAUGCACGUGAUGCAAACAAGCAUUCCUACUAGGGAUUCAGCAUGAGGCUAUGUUAUUUUAGGUUUAAAAACCUGGGUAUAUUGUUCUAAACCUGGCCUACCCGAGUGCACAGCUCGAGUCGGGGGGGAGGGGGGCAGCAUACCGGGAAUACAGAAGCUUCACUGGCUUUGCAACUUGUCCGAACCUUGUUCUAAAAUUGGGAUAUGACUCUAACAGCAAAGAAGCCACACGAAGUACACACUUUCCGGUUGAUUUAGAAGACUUAGAGAGAAGAGGAUUUCGUGAUAAUUUAUAUACCGUCCAAGAAAUACCAAAGCGGUAAAAAGAGACAUUUAGCACAUUAGGCUCAAACACGUAUAAUAAAUAAAAGCCAACUAUAACAAUCAUAUCUAAGCUCGAAUUCUGAACCCUGAACCAAAAGUUCGGGGUUCUUAGACCCAGCAGAGUCGCUAGAGCUGUCACACCUCCUUUUUAACCCGAGAGAGAUAUAGGGAGUUUUUCCAAUUAAAGUGACAUUAAUAGAAAUGGGAUUAUUUAAUUUAAUCAGAGUCGCCACUUGGAAUAAUUUACGGUGUCCCAAGUCACCGAUUUAUUUUAAAUCCCAAAUCGAUGAGAAUUUUGGCUUUAAUUAAAAUUCUGUGAAACCAAAAAUUCUAGAUAAGGAAUUCUGUUAACCUGAGAGAAUGUGUUAGGAAUUCAUGGGUUCCGUGGUUCGAGCACGGUCGCUUAAACUAUUAAUAUUGGCCUAAUUAUCUGAUUAAUUACAUGUUUUUAAACCUAUUGUGCAUUUUCAGCUUUAUAACCACUUUUAAUUAUUUUAACCGCUUUUAAGAUUUAUAUAAUUAUUUCUUGAACAAGUUAUGAUUGUCGUACACUUGCCGUUUUGGGACACACCUCAAACCACGCUACAUGAAAUGCACCCGUGAUUCGCGAUAUGUUUAUUUUAUUAAAAGUUCGAAGUUGUUAUGAUCGGGUCACAUGAAAUGCACACCCGAAUUUGGGAAUUAUGUAUCAUAACUAUGCCACGGGAACUGUACCCAUAAUCACGAUGGUUUAUUAAUCGCGCCUAAAGCAAGCUACGAUGUUCAACAGUUGUUUAUUUGUUCCUUAAUUCAAGGCCGUCGAAGGUCUUGUAUCAUGGAACAGGACCGCAUAAUGCUAUCUCGAAUAUAGGAGAGGUAAAAUUAUUUUGAUUAAAUUUUUAUGACAAAACCCAUUACUACUGCUAGGCAGGCAUUACUCCAAGAUUAUUCAAUGGGAUAACACAAAUCAUUUUUCUAUCCAAAAAAAUCUCAAAAAAAAGGUUAGUUGACCAAGAACACAACAACUGAGACACAUGUUUUUGGAAAUAUUCAACAUAUUAGUUAAACACUAAAACUAACAGCUUUUGGAAAGAAAGAAAAUUGUGCAUUAAACAUCAAACACUGACUAGCAAAUGGUUUAAAAAAUGUCAAGCAAUUUACUUGCUGCAGCAUGAAAAAACUUCAGCUCAUACUCCAAUAACUUCCAGCAUAUAUUACAUACAAAUGGGAAUAAGCAAUUAACAAAGAACAUAGAGAAUUUUCAGUGUUUAUUACAAUCCCACUCAAUUAGCUAAUGAUGAAACACAUUUUCCUUAAAAAACACAUACACAUCUCUAGGCUAUAUAGUUUUCAUUUUCUCCAAAUAGCUUCUCGAUUUAUCAGGAUUGGAGUAUUCCAACAAAUCAGAAUCUAGUGCAUAUUACUCCAAAAUGAACAAAGUCACAAGACUGAGGUUCAACAGCUAAAUUUAGAGAUGGUGCACAUAUCAUUAACUACACCUCAAACUAAUGAUACUUAUGCCCACAGAUUACACACGAGGUGCAGUGUCGAUUUCCAUACUCGUUUUGGCCAUUAUCACUUAAAUCCGCAGCAUGUUUCAGGUAUCAGUUAAAUCAAACACCUCAAUCAAAGUUAUAACAUUGCACUUAUGCUAAAUAAGAUUUCAACACGUACAAAUAUGCUAAAACUAAAUUUCAAUAGAUUCAAACAAUUGAAGCACAUGAGCUAGAAGUGCAUCCACAAUUUCAUUACGAAUUAGAGAGGAGAUACAUGAUUUGGAUAUGUACCUGGUCACUUAGGAAUCAACAUAAAAUUGCCAAAGAAAGGCUAGAAAGGAGGAAACGUUGGAGUUCAGCUGCAGUUUAUUUGCAAAACAACUUCAAUUACCAGUUGAAAUCACCUUGAAAAAACCCAGGGAAGUGUGAAUAAAAUCUUCAAAUCUCUAUUUCACUUCAAGUUCUACUUGAAAUCUUUAAUUUUUUUGCUUUUUUCAGAGCUUUUGUUUUUGUCCUCACAUCUGAUCUUUGAACUUGAAUUCAGAAUGUGAUUGUGUGCGUCGAUGACUGAGAGAGGUGAGAAUUGUGUGAUUUCUCUUUAAGGAGAUGAAGGGAAGGUCUGCUCUUUGUCUUUUGUAGCAGAUUAAAGGCGUCGUUUGCUCUAAUUUUUGGGAGCAAGGAUGCCGUUGCUUUGCUCUCCUAGGUCUAGAUUUUAGGGACUUUAACGAG